This 741-nucleotide ribosomal RNA is filed under the name Microbacterium aurantiacum. RNAcentral describes it as "partial 16S ribosomal RNA". It matches the Rfam family "Bacterial small subunit ribosomal RNA", at positions 106 to 859 of the family's 1533-position model. Lineage: Bacteria; Bacillati; Actinomycetota; Actinomycetes; Micrococcales; Microbacteriaceae. The record is from RNAcentral.
GUGAGUAACACGUGAGCAACCUGCCCUGGACUCUGGGAUAAGCGCUGGAAACGGCGUCUAAUACUGGAUAUGAGCCUCUAUCGCAUGGUGGGGGUUGGAAAGAUUUUUUGGUCUGGGAUGGGCUCGCGGCCUAUCAGCUUGUUGGUGAGGUAAUGGCUCACCAAGGCGUCGACGGGUAGCCGGCCUGAGAGGGUGACCGGCCACACUGGGACUGAGACACGGCCCAGACUCCUACGGGAGGCAGCAGUGGGGAAUAUUGCACAAUGGGCGGAAGCCUGAUGCAGCAACGCCGCGUGAGGGAUGACGGCCUUCGGGUUGUAAACCUCUUUUAGCAGGGAAGAAGCGAGAGUGACGGUACCUGCAGAAAAAGCGCCGGCUAACUACGUGCCAGCAGCCGCGGUAAUACGUAGGGCGCAAGCGUUAUCCGGAAUUAUUGGGCGUAAAGAGCUCGUAGGCGGUUUGUCGCGUCUGCUGUGAAAUCCCGAGGCUCAACCUCGGGCCUGCAGUGGGUACGGGCAGACUAGAGUGCGGUAGGGGAGAUUGGAAUUCCUGGUGUAGCGGUGGAAUGCGCAGAUAUCAGGAGGAACACCGAUGGCGAAGGCAGAUCUCUGGGCCGUAACUGACGCUGAGGAGCGAAAGGGUGGGGAGCAAACAGGCUUAGAUACCCUGGUAGUCCACCCCGUAAACGUUGGGAACUAGUUGUGGGGACCAUUCCACGGUUUCCGUGACGCAGCUAACGCA